Long non-coding RNA from Malurus melanocephalus (red-backed fairy wren), 356 nucleotides. RefSeq lists it as uncharacterized. The record is from RefSeq and is a predicted model, not a curated record. The transcript has 3 exons. Lineage: Eukaryota; Metazoa; Chordata; Aves; Passeriformes; Maluridae.
CCACAAGAAUGUCACCUUGUGCUUUGCAACUAUGGAACUCCGACAAGAUUCAGAGACAGAUAGAAGAACCUGUGAAAAAAAGGACAUCACCUCUGGAUGAGGAGAAGAAAGGUUAUAAGGACAUGAAGAAAAAGAGGAACAAAACCAAAAUGUACACACAAUCAAGAGUUGUGCUGGACCCWAUUUCCUUUGCCUGUAAGACUGAGAGGUGUCAAGAUCAUGAUCCCGUAUGUCCAACCCCUCUCAUGAUGUAAGAUCCUUCUGUAGUGGUUAACAUGAAGAUUUUCACAGUUUGAAAGAGUGAUUAUUGAGGUCUCAGUCUCAUAAGCAGUCAGCAAGAGCCAAAACACAGUAAA